RNAcentral lists this ribosomal RNA (253 nucleotides) under uncultured bacterium. RNAcentral's name for it is "partial 16S ribosomal RNA". It matches the Rfam family "Bacterial small subunit ribosomal RNA", at positions 524 to 776 of the family's 1533-position model. The record is from RNAcentral.
GACGUAGGGUGCGAGCGUUGUCCGGAUUUAUUGGGCGUAAAGAGCUCGUAAGCGGCUCGUCGCGUCGACCGUGAAAACCCGCGGCUUAACUGCGGGCUUGCGGUUGAUACGGGCGGGCUAGAGUUCGGUAGGGGAGACUGGAAUUCCUGGUGUAGCGGUGAAAUGCGCAGAUAUCAGGAGGAACACCGGUGGCGAAGGCGGGUCUCUGGGCCGAUACUGACGCUGAGGAGCGAAAGCGUGGGGAGCGAACAGG